Molecule: RNA transcript, 3718 nt
Organism: Oncorhynchus kisutch (coho salmon)
Lineage: Eukaryota; Metazoa; Chordata; Actinopteri; Salmoniformes; Salmonidae
Gene: cirbpb
Gene name: cold inducible RNA binding protein b
Exons: 7
Source: RefSeq, a predicted model, not a curated record
CUGACCUGUGAACAGCAGCAAUACCCAACAAAGCGUCUAGUAUACCGGAAGACCACACGAAGAAGAAGAAGAGCUCAUAAACAGGAGCCAUUUUAACAUCUUUCUCAGACGGCGCCAAACUACACAGAGAUAAUCCAAGAUGUCUGACGAGGGGAAGCUUUUUGUUGGAGGAUUGUGUUUUGACACUGAUGAAACUUCACUGGAAGAGGCGUUUUCAAAAUAUGGAAACAUUGCUAAAGUCGACGUUGUCAGAGAUCGUGAGACUCAGAGAUCCAGGGGUUUCGGCUUUGUGACUUUUGAAAACCCAGAAGAUGCCAAAGACGCAAUGGCUGCAAUGAAUGGCAAGUCGGUCGAUGGCAGGAUGAUUCGUGUGGAUGAAGCUGGCAAGUCCGGAGGAAGAUCUGACCGCGGGGGCGGCUUCAGGGGCGGUUCUGGUGGUUUCAGGGGUGGUUCUGGUGGCUUCAGAGGGGGCAGAGGAAGAGGUGGUGGAGGUUAUGGUGGGGGAGAAAGAAGCUAUGGCGGUGAUCGCAGCUAUGGCGGGGAUCGCAGCUAUGGCGGGGAUCGCAGCUAUGGGGGUGGCGGGGACCGCAGCUAUGGGGGUGGCUACAGGAGUGGUGGUGGUGGGGGAGGAGGAUACUCCUCUGGGGGUGGCAGCGGAGGUUACAGAGAGGCCAGGAGUGGAGGAGAAGGUGGUUAUGGUGGCCGCUCUGGGGGAUCCUACCGAGACAGCUAUGACAGCUAUGGUAAGUAUAAAGAUGUAGCCUAGUUGUUGCCAUGAUCUCACUGUUAGUACGAACUAGAAAUGUUUAGGAGGAACUGGACAUGAUUGCAUAGACUCCCAGAACGACCCCUUUAAGACUUUGUUGCUCAGAAACCGAAAGCCUGUGCCCUCUUGGAUUAGUAUGUUAAAAUACUCAUGUCUGCUCAAAGAAUCAAACAUUUCUUUGAAACAAUGGAUAUCCAGCCCUCUACCACCUUAUCCAAAAGCAGAAAGACAUUCCUAGAUUUUUUCACUCAGUUUCUUUUGAAGAGGCAUAGGUUCUUUCAAUACCCUUGUCCUGGUGCUUUCCUGUUGCAAUGAUAACUGUGGCACAAAAUAUAAAUGGGCUCUAGUCUACUGUGAGAAAUGUCAGAAUGCUGCAGUGCCUUUACACUUGUGCCUACUUCUUGUCCUCAGCUACACACGAGUAAAAACAAAAACAAACUUCCUGAUUGCAAGAUCGUCCCAUCGCUGGCUGUUUUUUUAAAGAUGCGCUCUUCGAAGACUUUUUUUUUUCUGUUUGUGGUAUCUGGUUCUAGUGUUUUCUUUAACAAAUCAGCAUCUUUAGUCCUUUUUUAUCGUGUUGAAAGUAUUCUUCAGGAUCUCUGUCCUCAUGGCAGUAACUGAAAUCCUGUAGCAUUUAAUUACUGUAAGCCUUGAUGCUCAGUAAGGGUCUGAGUACCUUAAGCUCAAUAUGCCCUCCUGUUGCAGGGAGAAUGCACUGGGAGAAAAUCAAAUUUGAUAAUUUUAUAAAAAUGCCUUUGUUUGCAAUUAAACCUGUUUCUACUGUUGAAUCGUAACCUGUUCAACACAGCCUGAUAGCUUCUAAGACAAAUUCAAUCUUGACGAUGUUUCUGCUCAAUCGAAAGACUCAAAUAUCAGUAGCGACAUGUUUCCAUUUAAUCUAAUUUUUAACUGGAGUUGUAGUGAAUUCUGGUCUUUAAAAAAUAUUAAAUCUAUGAAAUUUACACUAGAAGCUGGAAAAGCUGUGAUUGUGCUCUAAAGACAUGUUGCUCCUUCAGUUCUGUAAUGCAUUCCUUUAGUGUAGCAAGGUAGGAAUGCUAAGUGGGAGCACUGGUUUCCAGCAGACCACCUUGAUAUUGCUAAAGAUUUGUCAAUACUCGGUAUCCAAAGAGUGAAUUACUUUGACUGGUGAACCUACUUCGGCUCUUUGGGCUGUAUUCUAGGUGUUAGUUGCAGCCUUCUGCAGUUGGCCUAAGGUACUUUGCUCUUUGCAAACAUGUGCAUAAUAUGCUGAUGGACUGAACGUUCACUCUCAAUGUUACUUCAAGGAUAUGUGCUCUCUGUUCUGUUAACCAACACCUAAGAUUUUUUUGUAUAUCCUGGCUUCAUGAAGCCUAUUAAACAACCCCGUUGAAAAUGCUCUGAUUUAUUGUGCCUUCAAAGACCUAUAGCCUGUUCACUAAGCCAGCUGAAUGUUAUGUAAUGUGAGUGGUAGCGAGGGAUUAGUAAGUGGGUUGAGUGAAAUGAUGGAAUAGUCUGCUGGAAAGGGUAUUCUGCAAAGCAGGAUUUCAUUAUGAAAGGGUGGCUGGGUGUAAGUCUCAUUUAGGAAUAUUGGGAGGUCCUCUGAAUUAAUACUCAAAACAUGCUAAAGGGUCUACCCUGAUGCUGAAGCUAGUCAAUGUACGGGGGUGGCUGGGGGUGUUGAAAGCAGAAUAGAAAUGAAAUGUCAUCCUGGUGCUGGCACUGGUUCUUUUAUAACGCUUCAUUGCGCCCAAGAGCUCUACUAUCGUUUUGGAAAUCAACAAAGUCCUUGGAGAAUGAAGUGUUGUGCCUACCGACAUGUGAAUCCUCUCUGGUGAAUGCUGCUCUCUUGGCUAGUUCAUAAGUGGAUAUAGGCCAGUAAUGUGAGGUAACGACUUUUGCUCUCCUGUUCGCAUCCCUCAAACAGUUCUCAUUUUGAUGUCCAUCUUAUCUACCUUCAACUUUGCCCAAGCACCGCUGUCACUUCCUCAGGCCCUAGACGUUACUGUUCAAUACCCAGAGUUGCAUGAGAACGUCCAGUAAAGUAUCCAGUUUUUGGAGAAACGUUUCACCCUGUCCCCCAUUAGACCGAGGGGACUGCUAGAGCCUCUGAAAAUCAACAUUGAGCUUUUGCAAAUUCCAUGAGCAGUCAUUGCUAAAGUAUCCCUAGUGUAAAUCACAAUAUUCUAAGUUUGAUCCAUCUGUGAAACCAGUGUUUUGUACUGUUCUCCCAGUGAUUGCAAAGUUGUCUUCAUCUUAAAUUCUAGACUCACCUUUUUCUUGUAAAGUAUCACUAUGUACAGUUUAGUAAAUGUCCAGCUUUCAAAACUUGAUAAUAUUGUCUAAUGCUAAAAGUUAAUGCUGUUCAACACAUCUGUAGUUCUUUGCUAGCUUGAUAUUGAUAAGCAAAUGCAUGCCUUGUCAUUGUUGCCCUCAGACUGUACUACAAACUAAUUACCCUUCUCGUUACACGACUAGGUUAAGCGUUGGAUGUGAGCAACUAACUCGAGGCCUGACUGCAACUGGUUCCUGCCGAUGCUUUCUAGAUUCAGCACAGGAUGGCUUGCCCUGAAACGGCAAACUGCUCCUUGGGAGGUCGCUACCAGGAGAGAUCUUGAAGGAUGAAUUAGAUGUGCUGCUGAACUGGACCUGGGGUGUAAUUCAGCAGGAUGCAGCGUCUUUGAAAGAUGCGAUGGAAAUAUGCCAUGUAGAUCAAACAUUACACUCUGACAAGUAUAGUAAGGAAUCCUGUCUGCUUUAUUCAUGGCAUUUCUAUCUGCUUUGUUAAACAUUUGGCACCUGAACGUGGCCCUGACUCUGUCAAGACCAGCCUUAAAAUGGGAUUGGAAAUCAAAUCUGGUACUAACAUGCAUAAUACUGUCAUUUUGCAUGCUAAUUAAAUGCUGUAUGCAGUGAUGUGUAUUCAUGGAUGCCAAAGGAAGCCAGGCUUCAAGAAAUAAAAUUCAAAACACA